Molecule: unclassified non-coding RNA, 339 nt
Filed under: soil metagenome
Description: partial contains 5.8S ribosomal RNA, internal transcribed spacer 2, and large subunit ribosomal RNA
Rfam family: 5.8S ribosomal RNA (bases 6-121)
Source: RNAcentral
GAUGAAAGAACGUAGCGAAAUGCGAUAAGUAGUGUGAAUUGCAGAAUUCAGUGAAUCAUCGAAUCUUUGAACGCACAUUGCGCCCCUUGGUAUUCCAUGGGGCAUGCCUGUUCGAGCGUCAUUUGUACCUUCAAGCUCUGCUUGGUGUUGGGUGUUUUGUCUCGCCUCUGCGUGUAGACUCGCCUUAAAACAAUUGGCAGCCGGCGUAUUGAUUUCGGAGCGCAGUACAUCUCGCGCUUUGCACUCAUAACGGCGACGUCCAAAAGUACAUUUUUACACUCUUGACCUCGGAUCAGGUAGGGAUACCCGCUGAACUUAAGCAUAUCAAUAAGCGGAGGA